GCCCGGUUAGCUCAGUUGGCAGAGCGCCAGGCUUUUAACCUGGUGGUCAUGGGUUCGAGCCCCAUAUCGGGUG
Molecule: non-coding RNA, 73 nt
Organism: Cymbomonas tetramitiformis
Lineage: Eukaryota; Viridiplantae; Chlorophyta; Pyramimonadophyceae; Pyramimonadales; Pyramimonadaceae
Source: the annotation of a GenBank genome assembly